GUCAGUCUAAACCAAGACACGUAGCCCCUCCUGGCUGACUCCCAGCUUCAUGCAAGCUGGCAGCUCCACUGGGUGCUGGUUUGGAGGGCACCUGCUGGACAAGCCACACUGACAGAAUUGGGAACUGCCUACAAAACUGCACCUAAGCCAGGGACCAAAAUCCAGGAGUGCUGAACUCUACUCUUUGAGGGAAAAGAAGAGUGACAAAUGAUUUUCAGCCCAAACUGACUCAAUGGGAUGUCUGGACUGAACCAUAGGCAAGAACCUCUCCUCCCAAGCAGAGAGGAUUCCUGGGAGAAGCUCAUGCUGGAAUGCAGAAGGGAGAGGGCAAACCCAAGACACUGAGGCAUCAGAUACACCAGAGGUGGCUCUUUGGUUGACUCCUGCAGAUAGAUUAUGCAAGCAUGUUCAGCAUAUGGAGCAGAACAGAUCCAAACUCUGUUCAAUCAAAUGCAAAGUGCCUUCAUGUGCUGCUGCUUCAGAGUGUGAGCUCCCAGAGAAGGCAACGCACUGAACUGUAUUAUGAACUGAGAGUAUGAAAACACCCAGGUAGUCUUGGAAAAAUGGUUAAUCAGUAAGUAUUCACUGGAGUUGGCAGGCAAGCACACUUUAUGAAUGCUUGUUUCAUAAAUAUUUAUUUUAAGAAUUGAAUUUUGGGAGUUUUCAGACAAAAGAAACCAUAAAACAGUGAAGAGAAACUUCGAGACUGAAAUUCUUGUGUGUGUGAUUUGUUUUUUUGCUUUAUAUUUCUUAUAACCUCUUUUCUUCUUUUUCAUUUUGAAAGAACUGCAGAAACUAAAAGCUACAAAAAGCAGUCUCAGGCAGA
Molecule: long non-coding RNA, 826 nt
Organism: Serinus canaria (Common canary)
Lineage: Eukaryota; Metazoa; Chordata; Aves; Passeriformes; Fringillidae
Exons: 3
Source: RefSeq, a predicted model, not a curated record